UACGUAGGGUGCAAGCGUUGUCCGGAAUUAUUGGGCGUAAAGAGCUCGUAGGCGGUUUGUCGCGUCUGCCGUGAAAGUCCGGGGGCUCAACUCCGGAUCUGCGGUGGGUACGGGCAGACUAGAGUGAUGUAGGGGAGACUGGAAUUCCUGGUGUAGCGGUGAAAUGCGCAGAUAUCAGGAGGAACACCGAUGGCGAAGGCAGGUCACUGGGCCGCAACUGACGCUGAGGAGCGAAAGCAUGGGGGAGCGAACAGG
Molecule: ribosomal RNA, 255 nt
Filed under: uncultured bacterium
Lineage: Bacteria
Description: partial 16S ribosomal RNA
Rfam family: Bacterial small subunit ribosomal RNA
Source: RNAcentral